Molecule: long non-coding RNA, 1164 nt
Filed under: Rosa chinensis
Lineage: Eukaryota; Viridiplantae; Streptophyta; Magnoliopsida; Rosales; Rosaceae
Description: sRNA RchiOBHm_Chr4g0416791
Source: RNAcentral
GCUGAUCAUCUUCUAAUUUAAAACUUAUGACAACCGCAGUAUAUAAUCAUCACAAACAAAAAAGCAGCCAAAAACACAACUUCCAUGCUAACAAUAAUUUACGUUACAUUAACAAGUUCUCGUCAGAGCAGAACCAAAAGCUAAAAAACAGAUUAACUUCAAGUCCCAAGGCUACCGUUACUCGCGGAAUUUGAUUCUCAACUUCAAACCAAAUCCAAACAGAGAGACGAAGACAAGACUAAUAUUAAUUUACGCUUAAUUAAUAAUGAAGAUCAUGAAGACUAAUCAAAUCUCAUUGCUGAACAUGGUCUUGUUCUGAACCAAAGAGUUCUUGCAAUGAGCAAUUGCGCCUUGAAUUGCACUCUGAAGCUCCUCCAUCGACGAUCUGUCCACCGCUGCGUACGACGUUGUUGCUCCUGCUCUACCAGCACUCGAGCCACCUGCCGGUUGACCGGUCCGGGACAAAACACCUGAGUGGCUGGGCGAGCAGCGCAUCGAAGAUGGGCAGCUCGAAACACAGCCUCUCCUUCUUGGGUACCUCAAGUUACCCGAGAAGGAAUGAGAAAACCCGCCAUUAGUGCUCUCUCUAUUUCUCGCGCUGGCCUUGCCCGAUAACUCGUGAUCCGUACUACUCGUGACUUUCUCGGAUCUAAUCUCGGCCGACGACGCCGUUGUCAUUUUCUGUUGUUUUUGGGAGAGCUUCUCGUACAGUGGCUUGACCUUCUUCAUGUACUUUCUGAUAACCUCCUUGGCGGUGUUGCUUGCUCGCUUGACGGAGUUAGAUCCGGAGACGACGUCGUUGUGAUCCGCGUCCACGACCACUCUGUGUUGUUGUUUAUUCGGAUCCUUCUUGAACACAGAAGAGAAUCUCGACAAAGAGAAGUACUUGCUGUUCUUCUUGAUCUGCGACUGGGAGCUCAAGUUAUGGAUUUGAAGAACAUCUUGCUUGACAACAACGUCGUUGGAUGAGUACUUGCUGUUGAGGCGCUUGAACUCGUCCUCCUCGGCGACGGAGCUCGGCCUGGCGGAGGAGUCGCACGAGUCACGUGAGUCGUUGGAGCUGCUGACGGUGGAGUCACGUGAGGAGGUGGUGUCGGAGGCCGCGGAGGAGGAAGAGGAAGACGAGGAGGGUAGGAGGAGGAGAGUGCGGACCAUGGAGAGGCG